UUCAGUCACCCUUUGGAAGAAGAAGGAUGUCUUUUAGGGCUUUGGAGUUGAGUAGGCUGCAGUUACUCCUUGGGAGGAGAGAGUUGGGCUGUUAAACCCAGGGAGGGAGCCAAAAGAUGUAGGAAGGAGUCCAGGGAAAGAACAACAGUGUCUGGGAGAAAACAGACCACAGUUGAUAGACACAGAGUCCCUGGGAUGGAACCUGGAAUACAGAGCAGGCCUGGGUCCUACCAACCACUGGGCGAGUGGCACAGACUGGACAGUGGAGCAGAAGACUACCUGGAACAGUUGUCCAAUAGGACUUUGCUACCCUGGAAGGGAAGGACUAGAGUGACCUGGCUGGAGGGCCAAGCCAUGAAGAAAAGAGAAUACCUUGAGUCACCGAGAGAGAUGGCAAAAGGGGGUGUCAGCUCUUGAAGGAGUCUUCCCCAGAGCAGCCAGGAGGAGGCACCGUGAUGGUACUUGUUCAUGAGGGGAUUGGAAUUAGAAGUGGAUUAGAGGAAGACCUCUCUUAAAGAAGGUGGUGCUGCUGUAUCAGAGGCUGGGCCAUCUGUCAGCAGGAAUGCAACUAGCUGGCACCAGCAGCUGAAAGCAUCUGACUAACUGCACACAGACGCAGACAGUAGAAGACAAAGGAAACUGCAGAGAGCAGCGGUGCUGAGAGAGGAUGCCUCAUCAUCAGCAUCAGCAGCUAAUCUGGCUCUACUGAUUCAUCUGCAAUGCAGAUCCUAUCAAUUUUCCUGCUGUGACAGCAGCCGGCUAGAUGCUGAUUAAGGGGAUUCUGGGGAGCUUGGAGGGGAGGAUAAACCAAGAGAAGGAAUCAGCAGCAAGAGGAAAGAGUAGGAUUAGAGAAAGCGGGACUGUGAGAGGCAGUAUAAUGGCUACAGUGUGCCUGACGAUAAACCAUACAGUGUUCUAUGAAGACAUUAGGAAGUUGUGUUAGUUUCUGCUAAUCCAUCACCUGUCAAGGGUCUGUUUCACUAGCCAUAAGAUUAAAGAAAGCAGCAUUGUCUAUUGUCUUCAAUACUGGUCACUCUGGAGCUGUUCCCACAUUGCAGCCUUGAUGCUAAUCCCAGUUUAGUGGGGGGCUGUCGAGGCAAACAUUCCUUAUAACUGCUGCAAUUUUGUAAAAUCAUUUUGGGAUAGACUCUCUGCUGAGUUAUCCUCCCUAUCAUGUUGCUCCAUGUCUCUGUGAGCAGGUCUAAUCUUUUUCCCAUCAGUGACAGGGCUCCAAGGGCAUGCAUGCACACAUGCACCCCCCACCGC
Mauremys reevesii (Reeves's turtle) is the source of this 1266-nucleotide long non-coding RNA. RefSeq lists it as uncharacterized. Lineage: Eukaryota; Metazoa; Chordata; Testudines; Geoemydidae. The transcript is spliced from 3 exons. The record is from RefSeq and is a predicted model, not a curated record.